AUGUGGCAAGCCAAGAGCAAUUUAAAGGGGGUACAGCCCCUUUAAAAAAGAGAACAGCCUCCCAUAGAGGAUAACUAACCAUCCGCUAACAAUCCAAACUGUAGGCCCUUAAGCAGCCACCAACAAAGAGUGCGUCAAAGCUCCACCGACUAAAAAAAUCCAAAAACAACACGACUCCCUCCCUCCCAACAGGCUAACCUAUGACAAUAGGAGAAUUAAUGCUAAAAUAAGUAACCAGGGAUUAAUCCCUCUCAGGCGCAAGCUUACAUCACCACAUUAUUAACAGGCCCAAUAAUACCCCCAACCUCCUCACAAGACCACAUAUUAACCAACCCUGUUAACCCAACCCAGGAGCGCCCAUUAAGAAAGAUUAAAAUCUGUGAAAGGAACUAGGCAAACCCAAGGCCCGACUGUUUACCAAAAACAUAGCCCUCAGCAACCCAAGUAUUGAGGGUGAUGCCUGCCCAGUGAUCCUAUGUUUAACGGCCGCGGUAUCCUAACCGUGCAAAGGUAGCGCAAUCAAUUGUCCCAUAAAUCGAGACCUGUAUGAACGGCUAAACGAGGUCUUAACUGUCUCUCACAGAUAAUCAGUGAAAUUGAUCUUCCCGUGCAAAAGCAGGAAUGAACACAUAAGACGAGAAGACCCUGUGGAACUUAAAAAUCAACGGCCACCCCCUCCACAACUUCCCCUAACCAGGCACACAAUCACCAAACACCUGGCCCACAUUUUUAAGUUGGGGCGACCUUGGAGAAAAACAAAUCCUCCAAAAAUAAGACCACACCCUUAACCAAGAGCAACCCCUCAACGUGCAAACAGCAACCAGACCCAAUACACCAAUACACUUGACCAAUGGACCAAGCUACCCCAGGGAUAACAGCGCAAUCUCCUUCAAGAGCCCCUAUCGACAAGGAGGUUUACGACCUCGAUGUUGGAUCAGGACAUCCUAAUGGUGUAGCAGCUAUUAAGGGUUCGUUUGUUCAACGAUUAACAGUCCUACGUGAUCUGAGUUCAGACCGGAGCAAUCCAGGUCGGUUUCUAUCUAUGACUAACUUUUCCCAGUACGAAAGGACCGGAAAAGUGAGGCCAAUACCACAAGCACGCCUCCCCCCAAAACAAUGAACCCAACUAAACCUACUAAGGGGACCCCAACCAAUUAACCCCUAAACAAGGGCCGCUAGUGUGGCAGAGCUUGGCAAAUGCAA
RNAcentral lists this ribosomal RNA (1203 nucleotides) under Phaethon aethereus. RNAcentral's name for it is "partial 16S ribosomal RNA". The stretch from base 1 to 1060 matches the Rfam family "Bacterial large subunit ribosomal RNA", at positions 967 to 2925 of the family's 2925-position model. Lineage: Eukaryota; Metazoa; Chordata; Aves; Phaethontiformes; Phaethontidae. The record is from RNAcentral.